CUCUCCAGAAAUCAUCAGAAAAUCUCCAACUUUUGCCUCUCUCUCUCUCUCUCUAAAUUUUUUUUUUUUUUAAUCCUCUCUCUCUCUCUCUCUCUCUCUCUCUCUCAAUCGAACCGUUUGUUCGUAAAAGAGAGUGCUGUUAGGGUUAGGUUUUCAACUUUAAAAGAGUGUUCCGACCGUUCAAUUCCGUAAUCGACGAACUUAGCGCACGAUGUAUGCUGAUCGUGUGGACACUGAAUCCGGUAGGUCUGUCAAGGACCGUCUUAAUGGAAGCACCAUAGACGAUUCCGGUCGCCGGAGGCAAUUUACCGGCAAGAGACAGAGGCAAGAUGAUGACAGGUGGGAGCAUGAUCUUUAUAAGGACAAUGAUCCUCAAGUUUCAAAUCGCAGAAUUGAUACUAAGGAUCUUCGGUUUAAGCUCCAGAAGAAGGGCAUCCUGCAAGCAAUUCACAGUGGAAGUGGAUCUGUUUCAGCUGUUAGAGAUCUUCGCGAAAAGCUAUCUGGUUCAACGUACUCGCUGCCAGUGAAGUCUGACCCCCCAAAGCCAAAGACAAAGGCAAAUCCAAAGCCAAAACCUCUACUUGAGGGAAGUAGGAAAAGCAUCAUUGUUGAAGCCCCUGAAUCAGAGACCAAAAAAGUUGCCAGCUCAAUCCCUAGGAAAAAGACUCAGCAAACGGCUGAAUCAGUUGAUAGUUUCCUGCAGUCCCUUGGUCUCGAAAAGUACUCAAUUACAUUUCAAGCGGAGGAAGUUGAUAUGACGGCGCUUGUGCACAUGGCCGAUGAGGAUCUGAAGGCUUUAGGGAUACCAAUGGGUCCAAGGAAGAAGAUACUUUUGGCAUUGGAAUCUAAAGUCUGACAUUUCGGGGUGGACCAAGUUCCUUUGCAUAUGUGGGUCUCAAUGUUUUAGUUCAAUUUCGCUGAAGUCAGUAGGUGUUUUUCAACCCGUGUUAUUCAGUUGCCGUGUACAUGCAAAACCAAUAUGAAUGAAGAGUUGUGCUGCUUGAACCGAAGGAGCAAGGCAAAAAUUUAGACCUUUAUUAUUGUGGCAUGUUCGUACUCUAGAAACAGAUGGUCUCUCCCCUCUCCACACAAAGUGGUCCAUGCUCUUAUACAAAAUCUUCAGAGUGGUACUGCCAAUUAGCCUCUUCACCAUCACCUUUGGUUGCUCUCCCCCAGGCAUGCAGAAGAAAUCAUAGCAGGUGACGGAGUUGUUUGGAGUCUUCAAUGUCAAGAACCAGCACUACUCUAUACAAGCCUUCUUUAUGGAAGCCCUGUUUGCAACUUCUGAGGAUUUGAUUUAGCCGCUGAAAAGCAAACGGAAAGAGAGGGACUGUGUUGCAAAUGAUAAUCAAGGGAAUUAUAUUUGUUGUUUUGUAUGAAGCUUAGUCUCAAUUUUGAAGGGUACUUCAUUUUCUUUUCAAAUUGGUUGCUCUCCUCUAAAUGGAGUAAAAUUGGUUGCCUGCUUCAAA
Molecule: RNA transcript, 1469 nt
Organism: Rhododendron vialii
Lineage: Eukaryota; Viridiplantae; Streptophyta; Magnoliopsida; Ericales; Ericaceae
Exons: 7
Source: RefSeq, a predicted model, not a curated record